GCAGUUGUACCCAAGUGGCUCAAGGGGCUCCCCUGCUAAGGGAGUAGCACGGUUAAACGUGGCUCGGGUUCAAAUCCCGACAACUGCGCCA
Molecule: transfer RNA, 91 nt
Filed under: Clostridia bacterium
Lineage: Bacteria; Bacillati; Bacillota; Clostridia
Description: tRNA-Ser
Rfam family: tRNA
About the family: Transfer RNA (tRNA) molecules are approximately 80 nucleotides in length. Their secondary structure includes four short double-helical elements and three loops (D, anti-codon, and T loops). Further hydrogen bonds mediate the characteristic L-shaped molecular structure. tRNAs have two regions of fundamental functional importance: the anti-codon, which is responsible for specific mRNA codon recognition, and the 3' end, to which the tRNAs corresponding amino acid is attached (by aminoacyl-tRNA synthetases). tRNAs cope with the degeneracy of the genetic code in two manners: having more than one tRNA (with a specific anti-codon) for a particular amino acid; and 'wobble' base-pairing, i.e. permitting non-standard base-pairing at the 3rd anti-codon position.
Source: RNAcentral